GCUCAGUAACACGUGGAUGAUCUGCCCUAAGGUGGAGGAUAACCUCGGGAAACUGAGAAUAAUACUCCAUAGGUCUAGGAUGCUGGAAUGCACUUAGGCUGAAAACUUCGGUGCCUUAGGAUGAGUCUGCGGACUAUCAGGUUGUAGUCAGGGUAAAGACCUGACUAGCCUACGACGGAUACGGGUUGUGAGAGCAAUAACCCGGAGAUGAUGUCUGAGACACGAUAUCAGGCCCUACGGGGCGCAGUAGGCGCGAAAACUUCGCACUGCGCGAAAGCGCGACGAGGGAAUCCCAAGUGUAUGCACGUAAGUGUAUACUGUUUCUCUGUCUAAAAAGCAGAGAGAGUAAGAGCUGGGUAAGACGGGUGCCAGCCGCCGCGGUAAUACCUGCAGCUCGAGUGGUGAUCGUUAUUAUUGGGCCUAAAACGUCCGUAGCCGGUCUUCUAAAUGCCUGGGUAAAUCGUAUGGCUUAACCAUACGAAUUCUGGGUAGACUGUUAGACUUGAGACCGGGAGAGGCUAGAGGUACUCCUGGGGUAGAGGUGAAAUUCUGUAAUCCUAGGGGGACGACCAGUGGCGAAGGCGUCUAGCUAGAACGGGUCUGACGGUGAGGGACGAAGCCCUGGGGCGCAAACGGGAUUAGAUACCCGGGUAGUCCUAGCCGUAAACGAUACUCGCUAGGUGUCGGCCACGGUGCGACCGUGGUCGGUGCCGUAGGGAAGCCGUGAAGCGAGCCACCUGGGAAGUACGGCCGCAAGGCUGAAACUUAAAGGAAUUGGCGGGGGAGCACCACAACGGGUGGAGCUUGCGGUUUAAUUGGAUUCAACGCCGGAGAUCUUACCGGGACCGACAGCAAUAUGAAGGCCAGGCUGAAGACUUUGCCGGAUUAGCUGAGAGGUGGUGCAUGGCCGUCGUCAGUUCGUACUGUGAAGCAUCCUGUUAAGUCAGGCAACGAGCGAGACCCACGCCCACAGUUGCCAGCGUACUCUCCGGAGUGACGGGUACACUGUGGGGACCGCCGCUGCUAAACCGGAGGAAGGAUUGGGCAACGGGUAGGUCAGGAUGCUCCGAAUAUCCCGGGCUACACGCGAGCUACAAUGGGUGGUACAAUGGGGAUCUACCCCGAAAGGGGUGGGGAAUCUCCCAAACCAAUCUUAAGCCCGGAUUUAGGGCUGCAACUCCCCCUCUAGAAACUGGGGAUCCGGAAAAAACCCGUUUCAACAAGACCCGGGGAAUACGUCCUUGUCCUUG
Molecule: ribosomal RNA, 1250 nt
Filed under: uncultured methanogenic archaeon
Lineage: Archaea; Methanobacteriati; Methanobacteriota
Description: partial 16S ribosomal RNA
Rfam family: Archaeal small subunit ribosomal RNA
Source: RNAcentral